RNAcentral lists this long non-coding RNA (3539 nucleotides) under Phaseolus vulgaris (common bean). RNAcentral's name for it is "long non-coding RNA (PVUL_LNC001596)". Lineage: Eukaryota; Viridiplantae; Streptophyta; Magnoliopsida; Fabales; Fabaceae. The record is from RNAcentral.
CUUCAUAAUUUUUUCCGGUUUUCUUCUCAUAUCCAAACACUUUCACUCAUCCAUACCUUCAAUUUUCCACUAUCCAAUCCAAGCAGUAGGAAGAGAAGUCGUGUCUGCAACCAUUAAGACACAAACAAGUUUCAGUCAACCACGUGAAGCUAGAGAAAAGUACAAGCUAUAAACACAAAGUGGGAAAUUAAAAAAUGGAUAAUAUAAAGGCGAUUUAGUGCAUAUGUGCUUACAUCAUCGCAUCCUCCACUUUGAAAGAUAAUAACGUUCAAAGCCAAAGCAAGGUUUGCUUCGUGGAUAACAGAAAGCCAAUGAUUUGGUAUAUUUAUACUAUAACUCUUAUGGUCAAAAAGACAGCAUCAUUUUUAGCUUUUACCACAUUUUCUGAGACAAACAAACCUUAGUCUUUGGUCUGUUUCAAUGGCAAAAACAAUUCAUAUAGCUGUUGUUUCAAGUCCUGGUUUCAGCCACCUGGUCCCUAUAAUUGAGUUCACUAAGCGACUUCUCAAGCUUCACCCAAAUUUUCAUGUCACCUGCAUCAUUCCCUCACUUGGGUCACCCCCAGAAUCCUCCAAAGCCUACCUUAAGACUCUUCCUUCAAACAUUCACUCCAUCUUUCUUCCUCCAAUCAGCAAAGAACAAUUUCCCCAAGAAGUAUACGUGGGACUCCUAAUUCAACUCACUGUUAUUCUUUCUCUGCCAUCAAUACACGAGGUUCUGAAAUCCUUGUCAUCUAAAGUCCGUUUAACCGCAUUGGUGGCUGAUGUUUUUGCAUUUCAAGUCUUGGAAUUUGCAAAGGAAUUCCACGCCUUGUCCUACUUUUACUGUCCUGGUUCAGCUAUGGUAUUGUCACUGCUUUUACACCUGCCAAAACUUGAUGAGGAAGUUUCGGGUGAGUAUAAGGACCUAGCGGAACCUAUAAAGUUACCAGGUUGUGUACCACUCUUGGGAGUUGAUCUUCCUGCACCAACCCAAAAUCGAUCAAGUGAAGCUUACAAGAGUUUUCUUGAACGUGCCAAAGCAAUGGUUAUAGCAGAUGGGAUUAUCAUCAACACCUUCUUAGAAAUGGAAUCAGGUGCUAUAAGAGCAUUGGAAGAACGGGGAAAUGGGAAGAUCAAAUUGUACCCUGUGGGACCGAUUACACAGAAAGGGUCAGACAAUGAGGCUGAUGGGUGUUUAAGAUGGUUGGACAAGCAGCCAAAUUGUUCAGUGUUGUAUGUUUCUUUUGGAAGUGGUGGAACACUCUCCCAACACCAAAUCAACGAGUUAGCUUGGGGUUUGGAAUUGAGUGGUCAAAGGUUCUUGUGGGUUUUGAGAGCACCAAACAGUUCAGCAAGUGGUGCUUACCUUGAGGCUGCAAAGGAGGACCCUUUGGAAUUCUUACCAAAAGGGUUUUUGGAAAGGACAAAGGAGAAAGGUUUGGUUGUGGCUUCAUGGGCACCUCAGGUGCAAGUGCUUGGUCACAGUUCAGUUGGUGGGUUCCUAAGCCAUUGUGGGUGGAACUCGACUUUGGAGAGUGUGCUAGAGGGAGUGCCUCUAAUAACAUGGCCACUCUUUGCAGAGCAGAGGAUGAAUGCAGUGAUGUUAUCCGAUGGACUAAAAGUGGCAUUGAGGCCAACAUUUAACGACGAUGGCAUAGUGGAAAAGGAGGAAAUUGCAAAGGUCAUAAACUCCUUGAUGGACGCAGAAAUAGGUCAAGAUGGUUCUUCAUUCUGCUGCUAAUGCACUGAAAGAUGGUUCUUCAAAACAAACCUUGUCACAUUUGACUAGUCAAUGGGAAAAUUAGAGUGAGAAUUAUUAGGAACCUAGUUUUUUUCUUAAAUUGUUUUCCUAUUAGCUGUGCUUUGUGCUUUUCCUAGUUUGUUUUCUUCCUGGAUUGAGUAGUUAACUAUCCCUGAUACAUAGGUAGUUAACGGUGAUUGUGUGGUUUGGAAGAUGUAUCUUUGAAACAUAACAUAGACAUCUUAGUUUAGUUUUAAUUUGAAUUUCAAGUUUGAUUAUAGAAGGGUAGAUGUUAUUUUUAAGUCAUUUCUUGCAAAGAUAACUCCCAAUUUCAGAAGUUGUUCAGGACACAUUGACCACAUGCUCAAGCUACUUAAGGGCAUAAGACAGAUAUAUACCCUUUCGAAUCAUGAGAAACUUGAUUCACUUCGUGCAUCACUCGUGACUUCAUGAGGUGUGUACCUUCCUAAAAUGUGAUCGGUCUCAAACUCAAAUCACUUCAUGCACAAUUCAAUAAUUAAGGGAUUCUAAUCCACCUAUAUCAUAUAUUAUGAUAAGGGAUAAUGAAGGAAGAAACACAAUAAGAUUAAUAUGUUUCAAUUGAAUUAUUAAUUUAUUUCAAUUUUCUUCUAUAAUUUGAACUUUUUCUUUUAAUAAACAUUCACUCAAUUAACACACAAGUCUCAAAUAAAAAUAAUGUUAAUACAAAGUUUUAGAUAUAUAAAUAUAAUUAUUAUAACUACUUUUGUAAAUCACACCCAUGAACAGUAUUUUUGUAAUUGAGCUCGAAAUGUUAAGUAGAUAGGCUUUAUGAUGACAUACACAUUGAUAAGACAGACAAACUAGUGAAGACGAACAAUUUUAUAUCAUCAUUAGAUGAUCUUCAACUUUCAUAUUGUUUAUGAUAUCAAAUGGUCUAACAACCUUAACAAAGUUUAAUGAACUAAUAUUAAUACUAAUAAUAACAUGAAUCUUAUUAAAUUAUACCAAUUUUCAUUUUCAGUUUCUUUAAUUUUUUAUAAUCCUUGUAAUGAACAAGCUUGUCACUUUUUUGUUUUAGUAUUCUAUUUUCCUUAGAUAUUGCAAAAUGACCAUGCUACAAAUUAAUUCAUGUAUAAAUUAUUGAUUUGAAAGCACAAGGUUUUAGGAAAGUAGAGCGAAUCAAAGCCACGUCCAGGGCCAAUAUAAAACUUAAGAUUUGGGUGAAACCAUAAAGCUAAAGAAAGAAAAAGACAAAGUAGGUAAUAAAUAAUAGAUAUAGAUAUAGAUAUACCGUUGGUGUGGAUAUGCAUUAUGCAUCAUCAUCCCUCUGAUAAUUUGAAAGCUAUGCAUAAUAACACAGAUUUCAAGAAUUUGUGAGCACGUUUAACAUCUAUAUUCUGUUCUCAUGACAAAAACUAAUCGCAUUGCAAUUGUUUCAAAAGUCCUGGUUUCAGUUAUCUGGUCCCAAUAAUGAAUUCAGCAAGAGACUUGUAAAGCGUCACCAAAAUUUUCAUGUCACAUGCAUCAUUUCCUAACUUAGUUCAUCGCCAUGAUCUUCCAAAGCCUAUCUUAAAACCCUUCCUCCAUUCGUAGACUUCAAUUUUCUUCCUCCAAUUCAAAAAGAACUAUUACCACCAGGAGGGUACGUUGUUAUUCAUUCCCUGCCAUCAACCUGUAACUGCGUUGAUGUUAGAUGUUCUUCCAUUUCAAGCGAUGGAUUUUGCAAAGGAAUUCAAUUCGUUGACCUAGUUUUACUAUCUUCUUAAUGUCUUUGCUUCUUCACAUGCCAAAAAUUGAUGAGCAUAUUUCAGGUGAGUUCAACAACUUAGCAGGAC